RNAcentral lists this ribosomal RNA (1251 nucleotides) under Streptococcus gordonii. RNAcentral's name for it is "bacterial SSU rRNA". It matches the Rfam family "Bacterial small subunit ribosomal RNA", at positions 93 to 1333 of the family's 1533-position model. Lineage: Bacteria; Bacillati; Bacillota; Bacilli; Lactobacillales; Streptococcaceae. The record is from RNAcentral.
GAGUUGCGAACGGGUGAGUAACGCGUAGGUAACCUGCCUGGUAGCGGGGGAUAACUAUUGGAAACGAUAGCUAAUACCGCAUAAUAUUAAUUAUUGCAUGAUAAUUGAUUGAAAGAUGCAACUGCAUCACUACCAGAUGGACCUGCGUUGUAUUAGCUAGUAGGUGAGGUAACGGCUCACCUAGGCGACGAUACAUAGCCGACCUGAGAGGGUGAUCGGCCACACUGGGACUGAGACACGGCCCAGACUCCUACGGGAGGCAGCAGUAGGGAAUCUUCGGCAAUGGACGAAAGUCUGACCGAGCAACGCCGCGUGAGUGAAGAAGGUUUUCGGAUCGUAAAGCUCUGUUGUAAGAGAAGAACGGGUGUGAGAGUGGAAAGUUCACACUGUGACGGUAUCUUACCAGAAAGGGACGGCUAACUACGUGCCAGCAGCCGCGGUAAUACGUAGGUCCCGAGCGUUGUCCGGAUUUAUUGGGCGUAAAGCGAGCGCAGGCGGUUAGAUAAGUCUGAAGUUAAAGGCUGUGGCUUAACCAUAGUACGCUUUGGAAACUGUUUAACUUGAGUGCAGAAGGGGAGAGUGGAAUUCCAUGUGUAGCGGUGAAAUGCGUAGAUAUAUGGAGGAACACCGGUGGCGAAAGCGGCUCUCUGGUCUGUAACUGACGCUGAGGCUCGAAAGCGUGGGGAGCGAACAGGAUUAGAUACCCUGGUAGUCCACGCCGUAAACGAUGAGUGCUAGGUGUUAGGCCCUUUCCGGGGCUUAGUGCCGCAGCUAACGCAUUAAGCACUCCGCCUGGGGAGUACGACCGCAAGGUUGAAACUCAAAGGAAUUGACGGGGGCCCGCACAAGCGGUGGAGCAUGUGGUUUAAUUCGAAGCAACGCGAAGAACCUUACCAGGUCUUGACAUCCCGAUGCCCGCUCUAGAGAUAGAGUUUUACUUCGGUACAUCGGUGACAGGUGGUGCAUGGUUGUCGUCAGCUCGUGUCGUGAGAUGUUGGGUUAAGUCCCGCAACGAGCGCAACCCUUAUUGUUAGUUGCCAUCAUUCAGUUGGGCACUCUAGCGAGACUGCCGGUAAUAAACCGGAGGAAGGUGGGGAUGACGUCAAAUCAUCAUGCCCCUUAUGACCUGGGCUACACACGUGCUACAAUGGCUGGUACAACGAGUCGCAAGUCGGUGACGGCAAGCUAAUCUCUUAAAGCCAGUCUCAGUUCGGAUUGUAGGCUGCAACUCGCCUACAUGAAGUCGGAAUC